GGUGCUUGCACUGGUUGGAUUAGUGGCGAACGGGUGAGUAAUACGUGAGUAACCUGCCUUUGACUCUGGGAUAAGCCUGGGAAACUGGGUCUAAUACCGGAUAUGACAAGGAACCGCAUGGUUUUUUGUGGAAAGGGUUUGUACUGGUUUUAGAUGGGCUCACGGCCUAUCAGCUUGUUGGUGGGGUAAUGGCUCACCAAGGCGACGACGGGUAGCCGGCCUGAGAGGGUGACCGGCCACACUGGGACUGAGACACGGCCCAGACUCCUACGGGAGGCAGCAGUGGGGAAUAUUGCACAAUGGGCGCAAGCCUGAUGCAGCGACGCCGCGUGAGGGAUGACGGCCUUCGGGUUGUAAACUCUUUCAGCAGGGAAGAAGCGAAAGUGACGGUACCUGCAGAAGAAGCGCCGGCUAACUACGUGCCAGCAGCCGCGGUAAUACGUAGGGCGCGAGCGUUGUCCGGAAUUAUUGGGCGUAAAGAGCUUGUAGGCGGUUUGUUGCGUCUGCUGUGAAAGACCGGGGCUUAACCCCGGUAUUGCAGUGGGUACGGGCAGACUAGAGUGCAGUAGGGGAGACUGGAAUACCUGGUGUAGCGGUGAAAUGCGCAGAUAUCAGGAGGAACACCGAUGGCGAAGGCAGGUCUCUGGGCUGUAACUGACGCUGAGAAGCGAAAGCAUGGGGAGCGAACAGGAUUAGAUACCCUGGUAGUCCAUGCCGUAAACGUUGGGCACUAGGUGUGGGGGACAUUCCACGUUUUCCGCGCCGUAGUAACGCAUUAAGUGCCCCGCCUGGGGAGUACGGCCGCAAGGCUAAAACUCAAAGGAAUUGACGGGGGCCCGCACAAGCGGCGGAGCAUGCGGAUUAAUUCGAUGCAACGCGAAGAACCUUACCAAGGCUUGACAUAUACUGGACCGCCUCAGAGAUGGGGUUUCCUUCGGGGCUGGUAUACAGGUGGUGCAUGGUUGUCGUCAGCUCGUGUCGUGAGAUGUUGGGUUAAGUCCCGCAACGAGCGCAACCCUCGUUCUAUGUUGCCAGCACGUUAUGGUGGGGACUCAUAGGAGACUGCCGGGGUCAACUCGGAGGAAGGUGGGGAUGACGUCAAAUCAUCAUGCCCCUUAUGUCUUGGGCUUCACGCAUGCUACAAUGGCCGGUACAAAGGGUUGCGAUACUGUGAGGUUGAGCUAAUCCCAAAAAGCCGGUCUCAGUUCGGAUUGGGGUCUGCAACUCGACCCCAUGAAGUCGGAGUCGCUAGUAAUCGCAGAUCAGCAACGCUGCGGUGAAUACGUUCCCGGGCCUUGUACACACCGCCCGUCAAGUCACGAAAGUUGGUAACACCCGAAGCCGAUGGCCUAAC
This 1354-nucleotide ribosomal RNA is filed under the name Kocuria sp. Am 16. RNAcentral describes it as "16S ribosomal RNA". It matches the Rfam family "Bacterial small subunit ribosomal RNA", at positions 75 to 1439 of the family's 1533-position model. The record is from RNAcentral. Lineage: Bacteria; Bacillati; Actinomycetota; Actinomycetes; Micrococcales; Micrococcaceae.